CAAUGUGAACCAUACCAAACUGUUGCCUCGGCGGGGUCACGCCCCGGGUGCGUCGCAGCCCCGGAACCAGGCGCCCGCCGGAGGGACCAACCAAACUCUUUUCUGUAGUCCCCUCGCGGACGUUAUUUCUUACAGCUCUGAGCAAAAAUUCAAAAUGAAUCAAAACUUUCAACAACGGAUCUCUUGGUUCUGGCAUCGAUGAAGAACGCAGCGAAAUGCGAUAAGUAAUGUGAAUUGCAGAAUUCAGUGAAUCAUCGAAUCUUUGAACGCACAUUGCGCCCGCCAGUAUUCUGGCGGGCAUGCCUGUCCGAGCGUCAUUUCAACCCUCGAACCCCUCCGGGGGGUCGGCGUUGGGGACCUCGGGAGCCCCUAAGACGGGAUCCCGGCCCCGAAAUACAGUGGCGGUCUCGCCGCAGCCUCUCCUGCGCAGUAGUUUGCACAACUCGCACCGGGAGCGCGGCGCGUCCACGUCCGUAAAACACCCAACUUCUGAAAUGUUGACCUCGGAUCAGGUAGGAA
Molecule: ribosomal RNA, 519 nt
Filed under: Trichoderma atroviride
Lineage: Eukaryota; Fungi; Ascomycota; Sordariomycetes; Hypocreales; Hypocreaceae
Description: eukaryotic LSU rRNA
Rfam family: 5.8S ribosomal RNA (bases 164-317)
Source: RNAcentral